This 36-nucleotide ribosomal RNA is filed under the name Bryobilimbia sanguineoatra. RNAcentral describes it as "partial 28S ribosomal RNA". Lineage: Eukaryota; Fungi; Ascomycota; Lecanoromycetes; Lecideales; Lecideaceae. The record is from RNAcentral.
GACCUCGGAUCAGGUAGGGAUACCCGCUGAACUUAG